Molecule: ribosomal RNA, 468 nt
Filed under: uncultured bacterium
Lineage: Bacteria
Description: partial 16S ribosomal RNA
Rfam family: Bacterial small subunit ribosomal RNA
Source: RNAcentral
GACGAACGCUGGCGGCGUGCUUAACACAUGCGAGUCGAACGGAAAGGCCCUGCUUUUGUGGGGUGCUCGAGUGGCGAACGGGUGAGUAACACGUGAGUAGCCUGCCCUUGACUUUGGGAUAACUUCAGGAAACUGGGGCUAAUACCGGAUAGGAGCUCCUGCUGCAUGGUGGGGGUUGGAAAGUUUCGGCGGUUGGGGAUGGACUCGCGGCUUAUCAGCUUGUUGGUGGGGUAGUGGCUUACCAAGGCUUUGACGGGUAGCCGGCCUGAGAGGGUGACCGGCCACAUUGGGACUGAGAUACGGCCCAGACUCCUACGGGAGGCAGCAGUGGGGAAUAUUGCACAAUGGGCGGAAGCCUGAUGCAGCAACGCCGCGUGCGGGAUGACGGCCUUCGGGUUGUAAACCGCUUUCGCCUGUGACGAAGCGUGAGUGACGGUAAUGGGUAAAGAAGCACCGGCUAACUACGUG